GAAUCUGAAAGUUAAAGGGUGCUGUUC
RNAcentral lists this non-coding RNA (27 nucleotides) under Homo sapiens (human). The record is from RNAcentral. Lineage: Eukaryota; Metazoa; Chordata; Mammalia; Primates; Hominidae.